This 1158-nucleotide ribosomal RNA is filed under the name Appendicheirospora sp. 'graminicola'. RNAcentral describes it as "bacterial SSU rRNA". It matches the Rfam family "Eukaryotic small subunit ribosomal RNA", at positions 1 to 1118 of the family's 1831-position model. The record is from RNAcentral. Lineage: Eukaryota; Fungi; Ascomycota; Sordariomycetes; Diaporthales.
CGCGCUGUCUUCUAAUUCUCAUUUACUUCUGGCGGCUCAAGCAAUUGAAUAGCAGUACAGUAGUUCCUUCUUGUUGAGUCUAUAUGCUGUCUCAAGCCGAAGCCGGCAUGAACUAGGAUUAGCACUAUACGGCGAAACUGCGAAUGGCUCAUUAAAUCAGUUAUUGUUUAUUUGAUAGUACCUCUCUACAAGGAUAACUGUGGAAAAUCUAGAGCUAAUACUUGCACAAGAUCCCGACUUCGGAAGGGAUGUAUUUAUUAGAUUAAAAACCAAUGCCCUUCGGGGCUUAUAGGUGAUUCAUGAUAACUUCUCGAAUCGCACGGCCUUGCGCCGGCGAUGGUUCAUUCAAAUUUCUGCCCUAUCAACUUUCGACGGCUGGGUCUUGGCCAGCCGUGGUGACAACGGGUAACGGAGGGUUAGGGCUCGACCCCGGAGAAGGAGCCUGAGAGACGGCUACUACAUCCAAGGAAGGCAGCAGGCGCGCAAAUUACCCAAUCCCGACUCGGGGAGGUAGUGACGAUAAAUACCGAUACGGGGCUCUUUUGGGUCUCGUAAUUGGAAUGAGUACAAUUUAAAUCCCUUAACGAGGAACAAUUGGAGGGCAAGUCUGGUGCCAGCAGCCGCGGUAAUUCCAGCUCCAAUAGCGUAUAUUAAAGUUGUUGCGGUUAAAAAGCUCGUAGUUGAACCUCGGGCUCGGCAGGCCGGUCCGCCUCACCGCGUGCACUGGUCCCGCCGGGCCUUCCCUCCGGGGAACCGCAUGCCCUUCGCUGGGCGUGUCGGGGAACCGGGACGUUUACUGUGAAAAAAUUAGAGUGUUCAAAGCAGGCCUAUGCUCGAAUACAUUAGCAUGGAAUAAUAGAAUAGGACGUGCGGUUCUAUUUUGUUGGUUUCUAGGACCGCCGUAAUGAUUAAUAGGGACAGUCGGGGGCAUCAGUAUUCAGCUGUCAGAGGUGAAAUUCUUGGAUUUGCUGAAGACUAACUACUGCGAAAGCAUUUGCCAAGGAUGUUUUCAUUAAUCAGGAACGAAAGUUAGGGGAUCGAAGACGAUCAGAUACCGUCGUAGUCUUAACCAUAAACUAUGCCAACUAGGGAUCGGACGGUGUUAUCUUUUGACCCGUUCGGCACCUUACGCGAAAGUACAAGUUUGUGGGUACCGGG